CCCGCACAAGCGGUGGAGCAUGUGGUUUAAUUCGAUGCAACGCGAAGAACCUUACCUACCCUUGACAUGUCCGGAACUUGCCAGAGAUGGCUUGGUGCCCGAAAGGGAAUCGGAACACAGGUGCUGCAUGGCUGUCGUCAGCUCGUGUCGUGAGAUGUUGGGUUAAGUCCCGCAACGAGCGCAACCCUUAUCAUUAGUUGCUACGCAAGGGCACUCUAAUGAGACUGCCGGUGACAAACCGGAGGAAGGUGGGGAUGACGUCAAGUCCUCAUGGCCCUUAUGGGUAGGGCUUCACACGUCAUACAAUGGUCGGUACAGAGGGUUGCCAAGCCGCGAGGCGGAGCCAAUCCCACAAAGCCGAUCGUAGUCCGGAUUGUUCUCUGCAACUCGAGAGCAUGAAGUCGGAAUCGCUAGUAAUCGCAGGUCAGCAUACUGCGGUGAAUACGUUCCCGGGUCUU
RNAcentral lists this ribosomal RNA (458 nucleotides) under uncultured Thiobacillus sp. RNAcentral's name for it is "bacterial SSU rRNA". It matches the Rfam family "Bacterial small subunit ribosomal RNA", at positions 920 to 1382 of the family's 1533-position model. Lineage: Bacteria; Pseudomonadati; Pseudomonadota; Betaproteobacteria; Nitrosomonadales; Thiobacillaceae. The record is from RNAcentral.